CCCUAUGGGGUGCACCAGGCGAGAAAACUUUGCAAUGUGCGAAAGCACGACAAGGUUAAUCCGAGUGGUUUCUGCUAAAGGAACCUUUUGUUAGUCAUAGAACCACUAAUGAAUAAGGGGUGGGCAAGUUCUGGUGUCAGCCGCCGCGGUAAAACCAGCACCUCAAGUGGUCAGGAUGAUUAUUGGGCCUAAAGCAUCCGUAGCCGGCUCUGUUAGUUUUCGGUUAAAUCUGUAUGCUCAACAUACAGGCUGCCGGGAAUACUGCAGAGCUAGGGAGCGGGAGAGGUAGACGGUACUCGGUAGGAAGGGGUAAAAUCCUUUGAUCUAUUGAUGACCACCUGUGGCGAAGGCGGUCUACCAGAACACGUCCGACGGUGAGGGAUGAAAGCUGGGGGAGCAAACCGGAUUAGAUACCCGGGUAGUCCCAGCUGUAAACUAUGCAAACUCAGUGAUGCAUUGGCUUGUGGCCAAUGCAGUGCUGCAGGGAAGCCGUUAAGUUUGCCGCCUGGGAAGUACGUACGCAAGUAUGAAACUUAAAGGAAUUGGCGGGGGAGCACCACAAGGGGUGAAGCCUGCGGUUCAACUGGAGUCAACGCCAGAAAUCUUACCCGGAGAGACAGCAGAAUGAAAGUCAAGCUGAGACUUACCAGACAGCUGAGAGAGUGCAUGGCAGGCGAUUCAGCACACUGCGCGUUACUAG
This 700-nucleotide ribosomal RNA is filed under the name uncultured marine group I thaumarchaeote. RNAcentral's name for it is "bacterial SSU rRNA". It matches the Rfam family "Archaeal small subunit ribosomal RNA", at positions 321 to 1028 of the family's 1478-position model. Lineage: Archaea; Thermoproteati; Nitrososphaerota. The record is from RNAcentral.